RNAcentral lists this long non-coding RNA (523 nucleotides) under Helianthus annuus (common sunflower). Its description in RNAcentral is "sRNA HanXRQr2_Chr05g0205111". The record is from RNAcentral. Lineage: Eukaryota; Viridiplantae; Streptophyta; Magnoliopsida; Asterales; Asteraceae.
GAUCUUCCAUCACCACUGGAGUAGUUUCUUGAUUGUUUUGCCUGCAUAAUUCACUCACAUAAAUAAACAAACAAACAAACAAAUGUUCCCAAUAAAAGCUCACUCAUAUAGUAGAGCUAUAAGCUAUCAAAAGGGUUUUCGCGGGUGGGACUAAUGCAAAACAAGGACGGUACUAUUCGAAUUAUUACGCAUGAAACUAAGAAAAGUGAGGCAACACAAGCUAUAGUCAUGUGCCAAAAAGGAAGAAAACUAAAAUCUCCUUCGUACAACAUAUGACUCAACCCGACCCAAUCCAGAUAGAAAAUUCCAUAACCAAGUGAUAGACAUCCAAACACCAAAAAGACCCCAGAUUUUAUUAUGCCUAGGGCCCAUGAAAUCGUCAAGCCGCCCUUGCGCAAACAUGGAAUAAAGACGCUACUUCCAUGAGACCUCGCCCCCAAAACUCACUCACAUAAAUGAAAACCCAAAUAUCUUUCUUUGGCUUCUCUGGCUGCCCCACCCAACUUCUCAUCUUCAUCUGAUU